Molecule: long non-coding RNA, 702 nt
Organism: Daphnia pulicaria
Lineage: Eukaryota; Metazoa; Arthropoda; Branchiopoda; Diplostraca; Daphniidae
Exons: 3
Source: RefSeq, a predicted model, not a curated record
AUUAUGGGUAGCAUUAAGCUGAUUUUUUUUCAGAUUUUUCCUAUGAAUGGGAGGGUAGUUUUAAAAUGGAUACCUAAGUUUGGGAACACUCAAUAGUGCUCCAUGCAAAGUAGGGUACUUUAAAGGGGAAUAACUAAAGAACGGGUACAGCUAGGAAGACGCGGAAAACUCUGUUAUUAUUGUGAUGAUUCACAAUAGUCUAAGUAACAAAACAACGAGGAGAUUCUUGCAAUGCAGUUUAUUAACAGAUGUGUUGGAAUACAAUGCCGGGUACGACUCUGCUGGAUGAACAGAGUGUCGGGCUUUUAUAGGCAAUUAUCAAGGUGGUGGGGAUUGCACCAUCACUGCAGAGUGUGGCGCAAUCCCGGAUGUAGUUGCAUAGGCAACAGGUGAGAUGGUGCAAUAGAGAAAGCCAUCAAGGUACUGCGUAGUACAGCGACCUUGAGGUACGGCGUAGUAGAUUGACCUUGGGAUACUGCGUAGUAGAUUGCUCUAUACUACAAGCAGUAGGCCGUAUACAGGCAGUAUACACAAGUCAUUACACUCCUCCCCCUUCCGCAGAAGUUUGGUCGGGGAAGGAAACCAUUUUUGUUUCGAGUAGUUCGGUAGUAAGUUUCAAUACAUGCAAGAGAAAAUUUUUUGUAUGCUGCUAAUACUACUUUUAAGUGUAUAUAUGUAUGAUUAAAUUGAAUACAGUGGGAA